GAAUCCUGCAGGCGUAUGUCUGUUAGGAGCUGUGGGGUUUAGGUGCGUCUCUGCGGCGAAGGUGUAUUGUCUGCGUUCUCUUGAGCGAGGCUUGACCCAUAGCGGGUGUAAGGCCUAUCUGACUUUGCACGUCGUCACUAGGGCGUCACCUUGGAGUCGGGUUGUUUGAGAAUGCAGCCCAAAGUGGGUGGUAAACUCCAUCUAAGGCUAAAUACAAGCACGAGUCCGAUAGUAAACAAGUACCGUGAGGGAAAGUUGAAAAGCACUUUGAAGAGAGAGUUGGACAGUACGUGAAACCGUUUACAGGUAAACGGAAGGGACCGCAAUGUCGGCUCCGGGGAUUCAAUUCACUGCUUAGCUGCCCUCUUACCGUAUGCGAGUUCUGCCCUCUUGACGGGGGGCGGGGCCGACCGGUUUGCGAGUUGUGUGCUUCGAGUGGACGCAUUUUCUCGGUAGCUGAACACCACAACGGUUUGCUUGACCAUCAGAGGUGCCCGGACAAGGUAGCCACUGGUUGUAAUGACUGGUGGAACUUAUAGGUCCGAGGAGUUGCUGACUGGUUGGGUGAGCGAGGAGCUCGGGCCGCGUAUAUGUUGCCCUGGUCGCCUGACUUGCCGUCGACUGGCGGGGACUGCUUGCAGUGCCCUGUCCGACUGUCGGUGUUGGGGCCAGACUGGGGGGGUCGGCUAUACGUGUGUAAGUCCAGGGUUCGUGGUGAUCUGUCGGCACCCCAUCCGACCCGUCUUGAAACACGGACCAAGAAGUCUAACAUGUGCGCAAGUCAAAGGGACCACCGAAUCCCCACGGCGUAUUCAAUGAGAAAAGGUGUGAUCCGGGGUAAAACCUGGCGCAACACCGCCCCGUCUCGUGGCCUUUGUGUCUGAGGCGGAGGUUGAGCGUACAUGUUAGGACCCGAAAGAUGGUGAACUAUGCC
This 934-nucleotide ribosomal RNA is filed under the name Hydroides unbiformis. RNAcentral's name for it is "LSU rRNA". It matches the Rfam family "Eukaryotic large subunit ribosomal RNA", at positions 116 to 837 of the family's 3401-position model. The record is from RNAcentral. Lineage: Eukaryota; Metazoa; Annelida; Polychaeta; Sabellida; Serpulidae.